This 74-nucleotide microRNA precursor is filed under the name Megaselia scalaris. RNAcentral's name for it is "mir-929 microRNA precursor family". It matches the Rfam family "mir-929 microRNA precursor family". The record is from Rfam by way of RNAcentral. Lineage: Eukaryota; Metazoa; Arthropoda; Insecta; Diptera; Phoridae.
UGGGGUCAAAUUGACUCUAGUAGGGAGUCCGUUUUUAAAUUGCGACUCCCUAACGGAGUCAGAUUGAUUCCGAU